AUUUAAAAAAUAUCACUAUUUUAUUUUUUUUAUUUUUUUUAGGUUAGUUUUAGUUUUAAAACACAACAAUAUUAAUUUUAAUUUUAAUAAAGUUCCAGAUGAAUGUUAUUUUUAUUUUAUAAAAUUAACCGAGCCUGAGCACAGGAGUCUGCUCGUCAGGAGGCGGCUCAGGCCACUGCCGCUAUGGUCCCCGAGGAGCUGCCUAGAGUGCCGGCCUAUGGCGUACACCGGCCGCCUCGAUUACGGUAUAGCCGGGUACAAAAGUGGUAGGAUGGCAGCACACGAUGUUGCAUUUUAUGUUUGAGUUAGUCCAUGUGCUUUUGUUGGAUGUGUUGGUGUUGGAUUUAUAUAUACCAGGUUGUGAGCUGUCAGUGUGUUGGUGGGUUGUAUUGUAUAGGAGUAAGAAACUGUUGGUAAACGACAAGUCCGGCAUCACAGCGAUACGAGCUAGGUAGGUAGGUAGGUAUGUAUUUUGCCUGAGGCAACUCUCAGGAUAGCGGUACUUCUAUUCCCCACCUAGGCUCCUUUUCCACUCCGGCCCCACUGUUUGGUAAGUAUUGAGUGUGCUGGUACUUGUAAUAUUAAUCUGUGUUGGUAAUUUUAUUUGUAUUGUGUUGAAUGCAGGUAAAAUACGGAGGGGAAGUAAGCGGUACCCCACCACCCACAACCACGGUGCCGUGACUGCUGGUGCUGGUACUUGUGACCAAGCCAGUGAAAAUAUCUCCACAUGUAUGGGUAUACGCUGGAUUAUUCUAUCAUUGUGAUGGCUGCAGGAUACAUCAAGGACGUCGAGAGCGAGAGAGAUAUCAAUAUCACUGUUUGUGCAAACGGAGAAUUCGAUGCCGGAUUAUUAUAUUGUCGUGGAGCUUUAUGUCUAGCAUACGGAGAGUUCGACGAGGAGACAGGCGUGAUCUGCCUGAUAAAUUUUGGGGAUCAUCGGUGCUUUUUAGAUUGCAAUCGCAUGGAUUUGAGGGUGAGUAGACCGAGUCCAUCGACACUUGCGGUGCCCGAAACUCGUCGGGGGUCAGCGAAGCGAGAAAUUCCGUGGGUGCUCCUCAGUAGGGGAGUCAGGAGUUCUGGGUUCUGGGUCUGGUACCUGAAGGGGGUGUCCGGUGUUCGGUACAAAUGCGCUUGCGCAUUUAGCCGCACCAACAUCCGAGCUCAUAUCAGCAGGUGAAAUAAACUCGAGACUGGAUAGGAGACUUGAGAGCCAACGGCCGAGUCAAUACAGGCAAACUCAGUCUUACAAAGUAACAUUAAGAUUGCAGAGCAAGAGUAAGAGAGCAAAAGAGCAGCCGCAGUCAGUCCGCUAUCCGCGACUGACUAUAUAUAUGUACAGUGUAAUCGGUACAGCGGUAGCCAAUGAGGAUGCGAGACCUACAUACACCCUGGGCCUCAUGCUCUUCUCAAUGCACCCCACUAUCCAUGUGCCCAAGAAAUCCUCACACACUUAAAUAAUAUCGCUGUCUGUUGUGUCUAUGUGUGUAUGUACACACUCUACACUUAUCAUUAUUAUUAUUGUUAUUAUUAUUAUAUUACUGUGGUACGUGUAGUGUGUUGUGGUACUAAUAUAACUCCACAUCAGAGUUCCAGUACCGUUAGUCUGCACUAAAUUCCCAGGCGCUAGGAACUCGGGGCGAGUUGAGUCUUUGUGUAUGGCUGGUAAGGCCGUCUGACUAAGUAAAGGUUGCUGGCUGCUGUUCUGUCCUGGUAUUAUGUGCAGGAGCAACUCGAUACUAUUAUAUGUCCGACGUCAUAAAAGAGUAGGCUGUAGGCUGAAGGUGGGUUGUUAUCCCAGAAAUAAUAUUAUAAUCGCUUCACACGCACACUACUCAAGUUUAAGAAACCUUAUGUUGCAUCGGUAAUAUUAAG
Molecule: long non-coding RNA, 1872 nt
Filed under: Cotesia glomerata
Lineage: Eukaryota; Metazoa; Arthropoda; Insecta; Hymenoptera; Braconidae
Description: uncharacterized LOC123264303, transcript variant X2
Source: RNAcentral